Long non-coding RNA from Felis catus (domestic cat), 3895 nucleotides. RefSeq lists it as uncharacterized. Lineage: Eukaryota; Metazoa; Chordata; Mammalia; Carnivora; Felidae. The transcript has 3 exons. The record is from RefSeq and is a predicted model, not a curated record.
UCUAGUGGGUCUGCCCCCUCACCAGCACUUCUUAUUUUUUUUAGUUGAGCCAUUACAAGGAUAGUGGUAGCUCAUUUUGUUUUUAAUUUGUACUUCCCUAUUUCCUAAUGAUAUUAAGUAUCAUUUAGAUGAUGUGCUUGCUUUACAUCCUUCUAUAUUUUUUGGUAAAAUUCCUUUUCAAGUCUUUUACCCAUUUCUUAUAAUUCUAUUCUUAUUUGCUUUUGAGAGUUCUUAAUAUAAUUUGGAUAUAAGCCCUCUAUCAAUGGCUUGCAAAUACUUCCUCUACUUUACGGCUUGUCUUUUCACUAUUUAACCUUGUCUUUUGAAAAGCUGAUGUUUUAAGUUUUGAUGACGUCCAAUCUAUCAAUCUGUUCUUUAGUGGAUCAUUUUUAUGAUCAAGUUGCAUUUAAUUUUUAUAUAAGGCAAGAUGCAUGAGUGAAGGUUCCUUAUUGUUUUGCUUAUGGAUAUCCAAUUUUUCUAGCACCAUUUGUUGGAAAGACUAUUCUUUAUUCAUUGAAUCUCCUUGCAUGUUUACUGAAAAUCAAUUGAACAUGCAGUUGAGCUUUGAACAAUAUGGGUUUGAACUUGGGCGCAUUCACGUAUAGUCAGAUCCCCCCACCCAGCCCUGCACAAAGCUUUAUUGUUUCCAGUUGGUCCACAGCUGUUAAGAAGACUCCAAAGUGGUUAAACAGCGGCCUAGUAGCUGAAGGGAGAGAUUCAGGCAGCAGUCCUGACAUCAGGGGGAUGCCUGAGGGGAUUCUCAACAGACUCUGGGUUCUGGAGGCUCCUACUCCCGCUUGAGAGUGAGCCUAACUUGCCCAGCCUAGUCUGGGGGCCAGCCUGCCUAAUUCGUCACGUGGUCGCCAUCUUCCUGGUGAGUUUCACCUGUUCCUCCCGGAAGUGGUUCCCUAGGAACUCACACGGCGCAGGCAGAGCCUACAGCAAGCAGAUACAAAAGGGUCCACUUCAGGUCUUUCCCCAGCGCCGAGGCAGCUUCUGAAGUGUCCAGUUUUACUCCACUCACCCUGGGAUGGCUCUGCACGUCCUGGAAGAGGGUGCUGCCGCUGCGCUGGUUUUGCAUCUUCCAGAGACGCUGGGAACCCUUGCGCUUCGGCAACCGGCAGAAGUGUCCCAUGCCUUCCAGAGCCACGUCAUCAUCCUGGUGGAAAUAGAAGCUCAGAGAAAGCCUCAAAGCCUAAGAUAUUUACUACUCACCUUUUACGGAAAAAGUUUGCUGACCCCUGGUGGGCCUUUCUGAGAGUGAGUAACAAAGAAGGAUAAAGGUCUUCUGACUAUCCAUCCCACCUCCAAAAGUAACUAGAAUUAUCAGCUAAAAGUGGAGCAUACAGUUCAAAGAAGAAAAUGAGAAAUGAGGAUUUUCCCCAAGUCAUCAUCUUUUUCCAAUAUGAAGCUUUAUAUUACAUCACCUUUAUAUAUAACUAAUGAAAUUUUUUGGUGUAACAAGGAAAACUGAUGUGAAAUCAUAGAUGACAAUGCCAUAUGAUUAAAAAUUGAACAUAUCUGAUUACCUAGUCAUUUCAGCCAAGCAUGAACACACAUUUCUCCCAAGAUUUCUACUGAAGAACGCCAUGAAGCCCAGAAUUUCUUCACUGAGUUGUGUCAAGGUAUAACUGAUGUUGCUACUAUUAAAAUACUCAGGAAGACUCUAUUUGUAUACACUUGACUUUUGUACUUACAGGAAAUGCAAUUACAAUGAGGUUUAUGUGAUGCAUAUUUUUUAAAAACAAAUUAUCUUUGUUCUCAGUAGUUUGAGUGGUUUUCUCACCUCUGCAGACUAUAGAAUCUGUCAUCCAAAGAACCAUUGCAGUCAUUUGGAAUAAGAAGAAUAUGGACUAAAAGAUCCUAGAAUAGACUGUAAAAGACACUAGUAAACAACUGACCAAUAACCAUAAGACUUCACUCUGCCUUUAAAUGUAUCAGGCUUGUAGUAAAGUUCUGGGCUGGGAACUGGCUUUACCAAUCAUAACUCUUAUAUGGCCUGACUCAAGUCAUUUACUUUCCAUCAUAACUUUUAUGUGGCUUUACUCAUUUCAUUUCCUUUCUCUGAUUUUCAGUUUCCCAUCAGAGUUCUUGGGUGGUUCAAGUGAAGAAGCAUACAUUAUAUAACUUCCCAAACCACAAUGUGUGAUUUAAAUAUGAUAACAUGAGGUGGUGAUGGCAAUAAUCAUUUAUCCUGAAGAUGAUGCAGAGUGCCUAAACAAAAGAAAAAAAAACGUACUAAAACAAUAACCUUUUUUUGAUGGACAGGAGCACAAGAGUAUACAGAAAUGGUUUAUAAAAAUGAUUUAUAUGAAUAAGUGCCUUCUGUAUUUUGCUUGUGAUUUCUAAGACAUUAGUGGUUGACGUUUAUUCAUGUUGAAUGAUUAAUUAAUUUAUUUAAAGAAACUAAUUAAAAAAAAAACCUGGUCACACUUUGGGUUAUUGGGGAGACAUGCCUGAAGACAUUCCAGACUAUGGUGAAAGAAAUUUGCUCAAAUCUAAUCUUUGUCACUAAUUUUUGUGGUUUUGGCAAAUUAUUUUAAAUUCUAAAACCUUAAGUUUAUCAUCUAUACUAACUAAAGUAGUAGAUUUGUUAGGAUUAUUAACCAACAAAUGGAGAAAAAUGACUCAUAGCACUGGGCCCAAAGCAAGAUACUCAAACAAGUGUUGAGUCAUGUCUUUCCUUUCUUGGUUCUCAAAUUUAUCUUUAUUAAAUAUCAUUUUGGGUAUAGGCAUUUUUAUGGUGAUGCACAAUCUCAUGUGAGAAGAUAAUUCUUCCUUACUGUUAUGGACUGAAGUGUAUACUUCCCCAAAACACAAAUGUUGAAUUCUUCACCCCCAGUACCUCAGAAUGAGAUUUUAACUGGAAACAGGAUCUUUAUAGAGGUAGUUCAGUUAAAAUGAAGUCAUGAGGGUACCCUAAACCAAUAUGACUAGUGUCCUAAUAAGACAAAGAAAUUUGGACACCAGCACAGAAGGAAGACCAUGUGAGGACACAGGGAGAAGACAGCCAUCAAUAAGUCACAGAGAGAAACCUGGAACGUAUCUUUUCCUCAUAGUCAUCAGGAGAAACCAACCCUCCUGACACCUUGAUCUCAGACUUUUACCCUCCUGAACUGUGAGAAAAUACAUUUUUGUUCCUUGUGCCAUGCAUUCUGUGGUACUUUGUUAUGGCAGCUCUGGAAAACUAAUAUGCUCACCUGUGGGUACAUUAAAGAAAAUGUUUUAAUGGCAACAUCAAGUUUUGUAAGGCCUCACCUAGAGAUUGUCACAGACUCUGCCCUUAUCCUUGUCCUUCACCCUCAUAGUGCUGCUGCCUGGCAGACCAUGUCCCUCAGGUUCACACAACAGGAGGGAAGUGCAAGUGCACGGUCAAUCCCUAGGGCAAAGGAUAUAUGGUGGACACAAAUGGAGGUGGCUUUCUGCUCACAGAGAUGCUCCAGGGAUGCACCUGAGUAUGAGGAGGCCCAGAACUCAACUCAGGACAAUCAUUUUACCUACCCUCUGUCACAGUGAUUAGUUGAAGGGAUGUGUACCCCUUCACCCAAGCUGACAAGACAUUUUCAGAUAGGUCUUUACUUCUUUGGUUGUGGAGUUGUGAGAAUUUAGCCUAGGCCGGAAUCUCCAGUUGAGCUUUACACAGAGAUGGGUCAGUCUCAAAUGGAAGACAAGCAACGAGAGAUGGGGAGGCAGAGACACCUGCUUUCAGUCCUCGACAAAGUAAGCUCUAAUCCUGCUAUUCUUGGGUUGGUUUUCAUUGUAAGCAGGUAAGUUUUGACUGAUACAGGAUGUAAACAGCAUUUUUGGAAAGAGAAGAGAAAAACUAACAAAUAUUUUUUCCAAAAAAUAUGAAGAUGCUUUCUCCUAAUAUGAAUGGUAGUUAACAUUUACUUUU